RNAcentral lists this ribosomal RNA (320 nucleotides) under uncultured eukaryote. RNAcentral's name for it is "partial 18S ribosomal RNA". It matches the Rfam family "Eukaryotic small subunit ribosomal RNA", at positions 1470 to 1796 of the family's 1831-position model. The record is from RNAcentral.
CCCUUAGACGUUCUGGGCCGCACGCGCGCUACACUGACCAGUGCAACAAGCAUCCGUCCUUGGCCGACAGGCCCGGGCAAUCUUUGAACGCUAGUCGUGCUAGGGAUCGAUUUUUGGAAUUAUUAAUCGUCAACGAGGAAUUCCUAGUAAACGCGAGUCAUCAGCUCGCAUUGAUUACGUCCCUGCCCUUUGUACACACCGCCCGUCGCACCUACCGAUUGAAUGGUGCGGUGAAGCCUCCGGAUUGGACAUGUCGGCCCUGCCGCGUGUCCGAGAAGUUGGCUAAAUCUUACCAUUUAGAGGAAGGUGAANUCGUANCA